GAGCGGCAACAGCUCAAAUUUGAAAUCUGGCCUCUUGGGGUCCGAGUUGUAAUUUGUAGAGGAUGUUUCGGGUACCGCCUCGGUUUAAAUUUCUUGGAACAGAAUGUCAAAGAGGGUGAGAAUCCCGUCUUGGACCGGCGGUAGGGCCUAUGUGAAACUCCUUCGACGAGUCGAGUUGUUUGGGAAUGCAGCUCAAAAUGGGUGGUAAAUUUCAUCUAAAGCUAAAUAUUGGCCAGAGACCGAUAGCGCACAAGUAGAGUGAUCGAAAGAUGAAAAGCACUUUGAAAAGAGAGUUAAACAGUAUGUGAAAUUGUUGAAAGGGAAGCGCUUGCAACCAGACUUGAGCGCGGCGGUUCCCCCUUGCUUCUGCUUGGGUUACUCCGCCGUGUCCAGGCCAACAUCGGUUCUGGGGGUCGGUCAAAGGCUCUGGGAAUGUAUCUACCCACGGGUAGACUUAUAGACCAGGGUGUCAUGCGACCUCCCGGGACCGAGGAACGCGCUUCGGCUCGGAUGUUGGCGUAAUGGUUGUCAGCGACCCGU
This 540-nucleotide ribosomal RNA is filed under the name Fonsecaea monophora. RNAcentral's name for it is "LSU rRNA". It matches the Rfam family "Eukaryotic large subunit ribosomal RNA", at positions 96 to 652 of the family's 3401-position model. The record is from RNAcentral. Lineage: Eukaryota; Fungi; Ascomycota; Eurotiomycetes; Chaetothyriales; Herpotrichiellaceae.